This is a non-coding RNA of Podarcis lilfordi (Lilford's wall lizard), 187 nucleotides long. NCBI's taxonomy places the organism in Eukaryota, Metazoa, Chordata, Lepidosauria, Squamata, Lacertidae. The record is from the annotation of a GenBank genome assembly.
UUCCUGAUGUUUAGUCCAAAUCUCCUUUCUUGUAACUCGAAUGCUUUGGUGCUGGUCCUACCCCCUGGAGCAAGAGAAAGCAAACUUGCUCCAUCUUCCAUGGGAUAGCCCUUUAGAUAUUUGAAGAGUGCUAACACAUCUCCUCUCAGUCUCCUCUUCUCCAGGCGAAACAUCCCCAAAUCCCUCA